ACACGUGGGAACGUACCUUGGAGUGCGGAAUAAUUCUUGGAAACGAGGACUAAUACCGCAUACGCCCUUCGGGGGAAAGAUUGAUCGCUCCAAGAUCGGCCCGCGUCCGAUUAGCUAGUUGGUGAGGUAACGGCCCACCAAGGCGACGAUCGGUAGCUGGUCUGAGAGGAUGAUCAGCCACACUGGGACUGAGACACGGCCCAGACUCCUACGGGAGGCAGCAGUGGGGAAUAUUGCGCAAUGGGGGAAACCCUGACGCAGCCAUGCCGCGUGGGUGAAGAAGGCCUUCGGGUUGUAAAGCUCUUUCGGGUGUGAAGAAGAUGACGGUAACACCAGAAGAAGCCCCGGCUAACUUCGUGCCAGCAGCCGCGGUAAUACGAAGGGGGCAAGCGUUGUUCGGAAUCACUGGGCGUAAAGAGCGCGUAGGCGGUCAGAUCAGUCAGAGGUGAAAGCCCAGGGCUCAACUUGGAACUGCCUUUGAUACUGUCUGACUAGAAUCCGUGAGAGGGUGGUGGAAUUCCCAGUGUAGAGGUGAAAUUCGUAGAUAUUGGGGAGGAACACCAGUGGGCGAAGGCGGCCACCUGGCGCGG
This 590-nucleotide ribosomal RNA is filed under the name Rhodospirillum sp. JA477. Its description in RNAcentral is "bacterial SSU rRNA". It matches the Rfam family "Bacterial small subunit ribosomal RNA", at positions 113 to 737 of the family's 1533-position model. The record is from RNAcentral. Lineage: Bacteria; Pseudomonadati; Pseudomonadota; Alphaproteobacteria; Rhodospirillales; Rhodospirillaceae.